AGAUCUUUGUACAGCAUUUAAACAUCCACUUUAGAAAAUAGUUCCACAGUUUUAGGCUUUCAAAUUAAUACAAAAAAAUGAAAGGAAUAAUGUUGCUAACCGUUUGUUUUGUGUUAAAAUGCCUUAUAUGCAUGACAGAAGCAAAUUGGUACGGAAAAAGAGACGAUUCUCAACUUAUUAGUCGAAUAUUGUCUAACAGACAGCCGCUUACAAGAGAAGACGACAGCGAGGUUAUAUCAAAAUUGGAAAAUUUAUUAAAAGACUUGAAAGAAAAACGAAAUGUAUUUCCAGAGAAUAACGCCCUUUUCAAGAAAAGGAAAUGAAAUGAUUAAAGAAAACGCAGCCCGCCUUAAUGGAGCUCAUGUAUAUUGUUUGUACAUUUCCGAAAACUUUACAUUUUGUAAUUAACUUUCAUGCAAUGUAGUAAUAUAUAUGCUCAUUUUAAAUUAUUGUGGAAAUAUGUAUUUUUAGGGGGAAAAAACUCAAGUAUGGUUUUCUAAUUUCACAAUAUAAACAAAACUAAUGAGUUAAUCAAUUAACCUUUUUACUGAUCAUAUGGAUAUGGAAGAAAAAAAUAUGUAUGGAAGUAAAAAUCAUGUAAAGGUACGACAAUAAAAUGUUUCUUCAAUUAAUACGUUUUAGAAUUUCUCGAAUUACUUUUACACAAAAAUGUUUCGGCAUAUUUUGCAUCCAAAUGUCAUUUCAAUGUGCACGUACUUUUUUCCAAAGCAAGAACAGAUGCUUUGAUAAUAAAAAAUAUCAUAUUUC
Long non-coding RNA from Mytilus trossulus (common blue mussel), 768 nucleotides. RefSeq lists it as uncharacterized. Lineage: Eukaryota; Metazoa; Mollusca; Bivalvia; Mytilida; Mytilidae. The record is from RefSeq and is a predicted model, not a curated record. The transcript is spliced from 3 exons.